CCUACGGUAGGCAGCAGUGAGGAAUAUUGGUCAAUGGACGAGAGUCUGAACCAGCCAAGUAGCGUGAAGGAUGACUGCCCUAUGGGUUGUAAACUUCUUUUAUAAAGGAAUAAAACGAGGCACGUGUGCCUUUUUGCAUGUACUUUAUGAAUAAGGAUCGGCUAACUCCGUGCCAGCAGCCGCGGUAAUACGGAGGAUCCGAGCGUUAUCCGGAUUUAUUGGGUUUAAAGGGAGCGUAGAUGGGUUGUUAAGUCAGUUGUGAAAGUUUGCGGCUCAACCGUAAAAUUGCAAUUGAUACUGACAGUCUUGAGUACAGUUGAGGUAGGCGGAAUUCGUGGUGUAGCGGUGAAAUGCUUAGAUAUCACGAAGAACUCCGAUUGCGAAGGCAGCUUACUAAACUGCCACUGACAUUGAUGCUCGAAAGUGUGGGUAUCAAACAGGAUUAGAUACCCGGGUAGUC
Molecule: ribosomal RNA, 460 nt
Filed under: uncultured bacterium
Lineage: Bacteria
Description: partial 16S ribosomal RNA
Rfam family: Bacterial small subunit ribosomal RNA
Source: RNAcentral